AACGAACGCUGGCGGCGUGGAUAAGACAUGCAAGUCGAGCGCUCAUCCGGUUGCAGCAAUGUAAACGGGUGGGAGCGGCGCAAGGGUGCGUAACGCGUGGGUAAUUUGCCGUGAAGUUGGGAAUAACUCGCUGAAAGGCGAGCUAAUGCCGAAUGUGGUUGCCUGGUGGAAUCACCGGGUUACUAAAGUUGGGGACCGAAAGGCCUGACGCUUCACGAUAAGCCCGCGCCCUAUCAGCUAGUUGGUGAGGUAACGGCCCACCAAGGCGAAGACGGGUAGCUGGUCUGAGAGGACGACCAGCCACACUGGAACUGAGACACGGUCCAGACACCUACGGGUGGCAGCAGUCGAGAAUUUUUCACAAUGGGCGCAAGCCUGAUGGAGCGACGCCGCGUGGGGGAUGAAGGGCUUCGGCCCGUAAACCCCUGUCAUUUGCGAACAAACCUUGCCCGUGAACAACGGGCGAGCUGAUGGUAGCGAAAGAGGAAGGGACGGCUAACGUCUGUGCCG
RNAcentral lists this ribosomal RNA (510 nucleotides) under uncultured bacterium. RNAcentral describes it as "bacterial SSU rRNA". It matches the Rfam family "Bacterial small subunit ribosomal RNA", at positions 29 to 510 of the family's 1533-position model. The record is from RNAcentral.